GAGUUUGAUCGUGGCUCAGAUUGAACGCUGGCGGAAUGCUUUACACAUGCAAGUCGAGCGGCAGCGCGGGGCAACCUGGCGGCGAGCGGCGAACGGGUGAGUAAUGCAUCGGAACAUGUCCAUGUCGUGGGGAUAGCCCGGCGAAAGCCGGAUUAAUACCGCAUACGCCCGAGAGGGAAGCCGGGGACCGCAAGGCCUGGCGCGAUUGGGUUGGCCGAUGUCCGAUUAGCUAGUUGGCGGGGUAAGAGCCACCAAGGCGAUGAUCGGUAGCUGGUCUGAGAGGAUGAUCAGCCACACUGGGACUGAGACAGGCCCAGACUCCUACGGGAGCAGCAGUGGGAAUUUUGGACAAUGGGGGCAACCCUGAUCCAGCCAUUCCGCGUGAG
Molecule: ribosomal RNA, 386 nt
Filed under: uncultured beta proteobacterium
Lineage: Bacteria; Pseudomonadati; Pseudomonadota; Betaproteobacteria
Description: bacterial SSU rRNA
Rfam family: Bacterial small subunit ribosomal RNA
Source: RNAcentral